UCUCCGUUGGUGAACCAGCGGAGAGAUCAUUACAGAGUUGCAAAACUCCCAAACCAUUGUGAACGUUACCUAUCCCGUUGCUUCGGUGGGCGGCCCGGGCCCCGCGCCCGGCGCCCCCCGGCCCCCCGUGGGCGCCCGCCGGAGGUAAACCAAACCCUUGAAUUGCAUGGCCUCUCUGAGUCUUCUGUACUGAAUAAGUCAAAACUUUCAACAACGGAUCUCUUGGUUCUG
This 231-nucleotide unclassified non-coding RNA is filed under the name plant metagenome. Its description in RNAcentral is "partial contains small subunit ribosomal RNA, internal transcribed spacer 1, and 5.8S ribosomal RNA". The record is from RNAcentral.